This 253-nucleotide ribosomal RNA is filed under the name uncultured bacterium. RNAcentral describes it as "partial 16S ribosomal RNA". It matches the Rfam family "Bacterial small subunit ribosomal RNA", at positions 524 to 776 of the family's 1533-position model. The record is from RNAcentral.
UACAGAGGGUGCAAGCGUUAAUCGGAAUUACUGGGCGUAAAGCGUGCGUAGACGGUUACAUAAGUCGGGUGUGAAAGCCCCGGGCUCAACCUGGGAAUUGCAUUCGAGACUGCGUAGCUAGGGUGCGGAAGAGGGAAGCGGAAUUUCCGGUGUAGCGGUGAAAUGCGUAGAUAUCUGGAGGAACACCGGUGGCGAAGGCGGCAUCCUGGACCAUUACUGACGCUGAGGAGCGAAAGCCAGGGGAGCAAACGGG